RNAcentral lists this long non-coding RNA (2875 nucleotides) under Olea europaea (common olive). RNAcentral describes it as "long non-coding RNA (OEUR_LNC010494)". The record is from RNAcentral. Lineage: Eukaryota; Viridiplantae; Streptophyta; Magnoliopsida; Lamiales; Oleaceae.
UGCAUCAAAAACCUGUUGGGCUCGAUCCCGGCCAUGUAAUUCCGCACCUCUUUCCUUAUCAUCUCCUGCAGAGUUGCCAAGAACUCAGGGCUAAAAAACUGUUUGUCCGCAUCAACCUGGGAUGGCAUAGCCACCUCCCCAACUGCAGGUUUAGCUGCCGCAGUAAACUGCUGAGACAGUGGCGGCGGCGGUGCCAAAGUCAUCUGAGAAGCUUGGACAGGUGGUGCCGGAGACUGGAUUAUCUGUGUAUGGUGCAUAGUGGACCCUGAUUUACGAUCCGGCUCCCGUGAAGGUUUAGGGGUCGGGUCUGAUACAGGUUUCAUUUGUGGGGGAAAGGACUCUAAAACGGGUUUUGAAUUGGAACCCGACCCAGGUAAGGAAAGGCUAAGUGAUGUGAGGAGGUCUGGUUGAGAAGGCGUAGGAUGAGGAGGAGAGAUCCCUCCGGUUCUUGCAAUGGGUCGGUAAAUUUGAUGACCCGAGAGGCUUGAUUCGCUCAAAUCGGAUCCGGAUGGACUGCUAGGAUCGAAGUUAAGACCCGAGUUAGAAAUCACUGUACCCGGCCCGACGCUUGAAGAUCUUUUCAAUGGCUGUUGAGUUUCAGGCUCAAAAUUAUUGAACUCUUCGCACAUCGAAAAGCACUUACGCUUCAGAGUCGAGUUCCAAUGAUUCUUGAUGGCAUUAUCCGUCCGGCCCGACAAUAAUCGUGAUAUGGUAGCCCACUUGUUGCCAAAUUUCGCGUGAGCCCGAAUGAUUUUCUCAUCUUCUUCAGGUGUGAAAGCCCGAUGCUGGACUUCAGGGGAAAGCUGGUUGCACCACCGCAACCUGCACGAUUUCCCAGACCGUCCCGGAAUCGAUUUGCUAAUCAAAGACCAGUUCCUGGGUCCAUGCUUCUCGACCAACCUCUGCAACAACGCAUCCUCUUCCGGGCUCCACGGGCCCUUGAUCCGAUCCAUUUCUUUCGUCUGUGAUAACACCGCCAUAACCAAGAUAGACAACAAGUUUCUGUAUGUACAGGUAUAUUGAGAGGCAGAGCCUCACCUCAGUAUGAGACGAAGGCAGAGAUGAGAAAGGGGGAUGUAUAUAAGGGUGAAGAAGAAAGAUAAUGACCGGGUGAACCGGUGGAGUUACCGGGAAAAGGGCAGUUAAUAACAAUACAGCUGGCAAUAGACACGCGUCAUUUGGUGGAAGGGUAGAUGUGACACCUAGAUUACUAAAAUCUCGGGUAUUUAAAAAAAGAGAGUGGGGGGUUUGAAGCAGCAGUUAACUGCCACGUUUAAUAACUAAAAUGCUGGCUCAGGCAGCAACCUUCUUUAACUUCCAACACAAAUAAAUGUUCUUAACUAACGUACUAAUCCAUUAAUUGAAGAGAUAAAUUAGUAACACUGAAUUAACAUGUCCAUCGCAUAUAGUCUUAUGGUUGAACAGAUUUAGAACAGACGACGAUUUUCAAACGAACCCUUUUGAUAGUGACACCACCACAAAUAGAAGCAUCACCUAAGCUUGUGGAUUGAAUUGAUCAAAAAUAGCUUAUUCCCAAAGCACAUACAUACAUGUAAAAUAUUUUGAUAAUUAUUUUUCGCAAAAUCGAUUUUAGAAACUUUUUUCAUAAUUAUUUAUUUAUUUUUUAAUGGAGAAUGGACUGCUCCUUUUUGGUUUUUAUAUCUACGCUUGAAUCAAGGUACAAUCCUGGAGUCAAGUGUUGAAUGGACGGCCAUAUUAGCCCAAAAAUUGAUAGGGCUUUUCCAACGAAUUUCCUGAUAAAUUGCAAGCCAAAGUCUGCUUUCUCCUCUACCUAAUUUCAAACCUGAAAGAGAGUUUUCUUAUUAUUUCUUUUUUGUUUCGUAUCCCAUGUUGAGUACGUGUGAUAUAUACUUUUACUUGUGCCUUUAAUUUUAAAUCUUAAAAAUUUAAAAAUUCAAAUAUUAAAACCUGUAAUUUAAUUUGUGGGUAGAAGAAAAUAACACCCUUUUUUUUAUUAUUUUUUUUAACUUUUUGAGUGAGUCAUUCUCCGUCCAGCAUCAAAUUUUCGCUUUGCUCAAACCUAACUCGAUUCAGCAUUAACCCUUACUCCUUCAUUGAUUCAUCUAUACAAUACCUCAGAAUUAUUUUUGUAGAACGAAGCUAAGAAAUCUACAAAACGAAAUUAAUCAUUCUGCAUCCAUUAAACCCCAUCCCAAUUCACCCGUUCCAAAAACUAUUCUUCCACGAGUCUUGAUUUUGAAUUCAUUCGAUCACUCACUAGUCAAUCUUGCUUAUCCCAAUUCGCUUCACCACUGCAUUCCUUAUCGCAUCUGUCUGCAUCAAAAACCUGUUGGGCUCGAUCCCCGCCAUGUAAUUCCGCACCUCUUUCCUUAUCAUCUCCUGCAGAGUUGCUAAGAACUCAGGGCUAAAAAACUGUUUGUCCGCAUCAACCUGGGAUGGCAUAGCCACCUCCCCAACUGCAGGUUUAGCUGCCGCAGUAAACUGCUGAGACAGUGGCGGCGGCGGUGCCAAAGUCAUCUGAGAAGCUUGGACAGGUGGUGCCGGAGACUGGAUUAUCUGUGUAUGGUGCAUAGUGGACCCUGAUUUACGAUCCGGCUCCCGUGAAGGUUUAGGGGUCGGGUCUGAUACAGGUUUCAUUUGUGGGGGAAAGGACUCUAAAACGGGUUUUGAAUUGGAACCCGACCCAGGUAAGGAAAGGCUAAGUGAUGUGAGGAGGUCUGGUUGAGAAGGCGUAGGAUGAGGAGGAGAGAUCCCUCCGGUUCUUGCAAUGGGUCGGUAAAUUUGAUGACCCGAGAGGCUUGAUUCGCUCAAAUCGGAUCCGGAUGGACUGCUAGGAUCGAAGUUAAGACCCGAGUUAGAAAUCACUGUACCCGGCCCGACGCUUGAAGAUCUU